GCAGUCGAACGAGAAAGUGGAGCAAUCCAUGAGUACAGUGGCGACCGGGUGAGCUAUUACGUGACCAACCUGCCCUCGAGUGGGGAAUAACUCCGGGAAACCGGAGCUAAUACCGCAUAACAUCGCAAGAUCAAAGCCGCAAGGCGCUUGAGGAGGGGGUCGCGGCUGAUUAGCUAGUUGGUAGGGUAAUGGCCUACCAAGGCGAAGAUCGGUAGCCGGCCUGAGAGGGCGCACGGCCACACUGGAACUGAAACACGGUCCAGACUCCUACGGGAGGCAGCAGUGGGGAAUUUUGCGCAAUGGGGGAAACCCUGACGCAGCAACGCCGCGUGGAGGAUGAAGUCCCUUGGGACGUAAACUCCUUUCGACCGGGACGAUACUGACGGUACCGGAAGAAGAAGCACCGGCUAACUCUGUGCCAGCAGCCGCGGUAAUACAGAGGGUGCGAGCGUUGUUCGGAAUUAUUGGGCGUAAAGGGCGCGUAGGCGGUGCGGUAAGUCACCUGUGAAAUCUCC
Molecule: ribosomal RNA, 515 nt
Filed under: uncultured bacterium
Lineage: Bacteria
Description: bacterial SSU rRNA
Rfam family: Bacterial small subunit ribosomal RNA
Source: RNAcentral